This 856-nucleotide long non-coding RNA is filed under the name Dromaius novaehollandiae (emu). RNAcentral's name for it is "lncRNA (ENSDNVG00000011113.1)". Lineage: Eukaryota; Metazoa; Chordata; Aves; Casuariiformes; Dromaiidae. The record is from RNAcentral.
AGCAAUUUACUUCUUUUCCUGUUUUUGCUUUUUCAGGGUCUCUUUGUGUACACACCAUCAUCAUCCUAAUAGCUCCUCAGCCAGUGUGCUGCAUCUCUGCAUUUGCAUAAAAGCUGAGGCUGAUAAUAAAGUUUCCAGUUAGUGCCAAAUUUGUGGAGAAUGAGAAUUUGAUCCAGAUUUCUGAAGAAUUAUCUGGAGGUGAAAUGACUUGUCAUAAAGGAGCAUAUAACUAUAGAACUGGAAGAAUACAGGAGAGAUGCCUCUUACUUUCCUCCCUGCUUGUUUAGCUGAGAGCUCAACAGCAGGUACAGGAUGUUCUGAGUCAGACUCCUGCAAAUGAGAGAAUGAGGAAUUCUUUUCAACCAUGGACUCUUCCCAGAAAGCCUCAGAAACAGAACUGUACUGAAACCUCACUGUGCAAGCCCUCUAUGAACAAUGACCUAAAGAAAGGACUUUCUAUGUUAAGACAAGAUACAAAUACAGAUUGUAAUCGAGGGAACAAAGCUGAAGUUGUAACAAUAGUGCUGUCAUGUCACACAGGCAAGAACAUAUGGUUCCACAGGUCAAAUUCAUCUGCAAGUGAUUUAGGAUGUAGGAUUCUUGGAUUGUGAAUCCACCAAAUUCAAUGGAAAUACGCUGGUCAGCCUUGGACUUUUAGUGUGGUUCACAGGGCACAGCAGGCCUGACAGACUCUUCAUGAAAAACAGGCAAAUGUAUGGAGAAAGAACCAAUGUACUUUAUACUAUACACGUACCUGACAUAAAUUUGGAGUAUUUUCUUAAUGGAAGGAGAGUGGACUAGGUUUUGCCCUCUUUUUAGAGCUUAUAAAUGAGUAAGUUAGAUCAGAAUGUACUCU